UGUUCCCGGGUUCCCUCCCCGGCGCGUCUUUCCCGGCCCGCCCGGUGCAUUGUGGGCUGACGUCUUGGUUUGGCUGUCUAGUGACGGAGGCUGCCGGGUCGGCUGGACCCUUGCGGAGUCUGUCGGAGGCGGGCUCAAGUUCAGGGCUGGGGACCGGGACCGCGACGCGGGGAUCCAGAAAGCUGGGGAGGCGUUCUAGUGGCCUGGGGCGGAGGGCUUGGGUGGAAGUGGAGUGGAGAUUGCACACAGCCGCGCGCGCGCGGCACACACACACACACACACACACACACAUACACACACCCGUGAAAGGACUGAAUGGUGAUCUGGGCGACUGAAGCUGGCUCCGCACCCCCGCACUUCCGGGAGGCAGCGAUGCGGGUUAAUAUGGUUGUGUGCGUCCCGGGUGCGGGAGCGCGAAAGUGGGUUGAAGUUGAGCGGGCUUGAGAAUGGCCCUCCCACGAUGAGUACGCAGGAAGUUUAGUUUCGGAGAAGGAUCUCUGCCGCAGUGUGCUGUACUUGGAAACCAGAGAUCUGCGGUGCUCGGAACCGAUUCAUCAGGGUCCCCAGCACAACACUUUAUUCUCUGGGGACGUGCCGGGAGGGGUUCGCUUUGCCUUGGAGGGACCCUUCCUCUAGGUGUGAAAGAUGCUAGCCUAGCGUCCAUGGGGUGUCGAAAGCAACAUAUAAGGGUUCAAAACUCAGGAAACCCCAGCGAUCGCCUGCUAGCACAGACACACGGUCCCGCGCACUCUCAGUUCGCACCCUCCUUCCCUCCCUCCCUGAUUUGCUUCUGGGAAAACAAGCCUUGAGAGCUGCGGACUCGCCCCAAGUCACGGUGCUUAAGCAGGAGUGCCUGCUUAAAACAAGCUGAAAACUCCCCUCCCCGCUCACUGGUGGAUUCAUAUCCUGUGCGGCCUCUAGGAAGCGCUAGACACAUGGUGUCCUUCAUAAGAAGAAAUGAUGGGUCGAAGUUGAGGCUUUUGUUCUGACUUUCCCAGCUUAAAAAGGAAGAAGAUUAUGUAUUGUUAUGUUUCUAUUGAGCAUGUAAGCUUCAUGAGAGCUUUCUACAGUGACCAUGCUUUACACUUGCAAACAAACAAACAAACAAAGCCAAUGUGUUUUUCAUCUGAUCAGCUGUCAUUCUAUCAUCUGGCCUUUGAAGGACUUUGAAAGAAGUCCUUUGGAAGAGCUGAGGUAAAAAAACCAAUUGUGGGUUUGCUAAUCACAGGAAGUACCGUGUUGUAUGCUUGUAUGUAUGGAGUGUGCAACUUGGAGAAAUCAGGACACAGAUUCUAUGAUACUUCCCUACUUAACAACCUUCUCCACACAGGGGAUAGGUUUCAGUCCACUCUGCUGCAGAGACAUAUCUUUUCUAUGACAUUGUGACCCAUUCUUACAGAUUUGGUAGUUAGAAGGGAAACAAGCGAAAAUGUUGUAAAAUGGCAGGAAGGCUGUUAUUACCAGUGUUUCUUUCGAUCCAUACCGUCCUUCAGCAUUCUGGCCCAUGGCUAAACCAUGACGAUGCUUCUAGUGAACACCCAAGUGCAUGGAGGUCUGGAUGCAUUGGAUCAGCAUUUUCUGUCUUGUUGGAACAAUGAUCAUCAUCUCCAGAGACUAGAACAACCUGAGUUUGUUUUCUGUGCUUGCCCAUUUACAACUUUAUUUAGGCCAAAAUUCUUACUCUGGAGACAGCCUGGAAGAGCCCUGCCUGAGAUACUGCCAGUGUGUCUCCUAGAAGAGAUGGAAGUUGUACCACUGAGUGACUCUUACAGCUUUGUCUAGAGAUCACUGUUGUUCAUCAUCCAUGGGCUAAAGCACGUCACAAGAAUGACCUGACACAGAAGAACAUGGCGUCGAUAGACAGGUCAGGUGUUUGUUAUUUAGCAAUAUGAAUUUUAGAUUCUCUAUCUAGAGAAUGGAAAUAGGUAAAGAAACAAACUAAUUAUAUAGUUUGUUUGCAUAUUAUAAUUCAAACUAUGGAAUAUCAUAUAACCGCAUUGGAAGGUGAGUUGUCUGGAAAGCACUAGCUGACCUGGAGGAAUCUAGUGCUGGAUUUAAAUGAGCAAAGCAAGCUGUAAGGACAUAUUGGAGACCAUGUAAGUAUCUUUUUAUUUCUGACAAAUUGAAAAAGACAUAAGCCAGGCAUGGUGGUACAUACUGUAAUUCCCGCACUCAGAAGGCUGAGACAGAAGGAUUGCUACAAGUUUGAGGCCUGCCUGGUCUACAGAGUGAAUUCAAGGUGUUUCCAACAAAUAGGUAACAACAAUAAAACUAAACUAAACCAAGCCUAUGUAUGAGUCUAUGAAUGCACUGGUAUGUGAUUAUUAAUAAAAAUUCCUCAUGAAUAGUUA
Molecule: long non-coding RNA, 2351 nt
Organism: Apodemus sylvaticus (European woodmouse)
Lineage: Eukaryota; Metazoa; Chordata; Mammalia; Rodentia; Muridae
Exons: 3
Source: RefSeq, a predicted model, not a curated record